RNAcentral lists this ribosomal RNA (146 nucleotides) under Equus caballus (horse). RNAcentral's name for it is "partial 16S ribosomal RNA". The record is from RNAcentral. Lineage: Eukaryota; Metazoa; Chordata; Mammalia; Perissodactyla; Equidae.
GCUUACCCCUUUUACCUUUUGCAUAAUGAUUUAACUAGAAUAAACUUAGCAAAGAGAACUUAAGCUAAGCACCCCGAAACCAGACGAGCUACCUAUGAACAGUUACAAAGAACCAACUCAUCUAUGUCGCAAAAUAGUGAGAAGAU